AGCGAACGCUGGCGGCAGGCCUAACACAUGCAAGUCGCACGAACCUUUCGGGGUUAGUGGCGGACGGGUGAGUAACACGUGGGAACGUGUCUUUAGGUUCGGAAUAACUCAGGGAAACUUGUGCUAAUACCGCAUGUGACCUUCGGGGGAAAGAUUAAUCGCCUUUAGAGCGGCCCGGGCCUGCUUAGCUAGGUUGUUGAGGUAAUGGCUCACCAAGGCGACGAUCAGUAGCUGGUCUGAGAGGAUGAUCAGCCACAUUGGGACUGAGACACGGCCCAAACUCCUACGGGAGGCAGCAGUGGGGAAUCUUGCGCAAUGGGCGAAAGCCUGACGCAGCCAUGCCGCGUGAAUGAUGAAGGUCUUAGGAUUGUAAAAUUCUUUCGCCGGGGACGAUGAUGACGGUACCCGGAGAAGAAGCCCCGGCUAACUUCGUG
RNAcentral lists this ribosomal RNA (434 nucleotides) under uncultured bacterium. RNAcentral describes it as "partial 16S ribosomal RNA". It matches the Rfam family "Bacterial small subunit ribosomal RNA", at positions 29 to 507 of the family's 1533-position model. The record is from RNAcentral.